This 72-nucleotide transfer RNA is filed under the name Leadbetterella sp. Its description in RNAcentral is "tRNA-Arg". It matches the Rfam family "tRNA". From Rfam's summary of the family: Transfer RNA (tRNA) molecules are approximately 80 nucleotides in length. Their secondary structure includes four short double-helical elements and three loops (D, anti-codon, and T loops). The record is from RNAcentral. Lineage: Bacteria; Pseudomonadati; Bacteroidota; Cytophagia; Cytophagales; Leadbetterellaceae.
GGUUCCAUAGUUCAACGGAUAGAAUAGAAGUUUCCUAAACUUUAGAUGUGGGUUCGAUUCCCGCUGGGACCA